RNAcentral lists this ribosomal RNA (334 nucleotides) under uncultured Streptococcus sp. Its description in RNAcentral is "bacterial SSU rRNA". It matches the Rfam family "Bacterial small subunit ribosomal RNA", at positions 1047 to 1382 of the family's 1533-position model. The record is from RNAcentral. Lineage: Bacteria; Bacillati; Bacillota; Bacilli; Lactobacillales; Streptococcaceae.
GGUUGUCGUCAGCUCGUGUCGUGAGAUGUUGGUUAAGUCCCGCAACGAGCGCAACCCCUAUUGUUAGUUGCCAUCAUUCAGUUGGGCACUCUAGCGAGACUGCCGGUAAUAAACCGGAGGAAGGUGGGGGAUGACGUCAAAUCAUCAUGCCCCUUAUGACCUGGGCUACACACGUGCUACAAUGGUUGGUACAACGAGUUGCGAGUCGGUGACGGCGAGCUAAUCUCUUAAAGCCAAUCUCAGUUCGGAUUGUAGGCUGCAACUCGCCUACAUGAAGUCGGAAUCGCUAGUAAUCGCGGAUCAGCACGCCGCGGUGAAUACGUUCCCGGGCCUU